RNAcentral lists this unclassified non-coding RNA (211 nucleotides) under Hevea brasiliensis (rubber tree). The record is from RNAcentral. Lineage: Eukaryota; Viridiplantae; Streptophyta; Magnoliopsida; Malpighiales; Euphorbiaceae.
AGUCCAAGGCCAGUAGACAUUUUGCAAGUCCUGAAGCAGCUGAGAGAGAAACUCCUUUGCAAGACUGUCUACAACUACAAUCAAUCUGUCUGAAGAUAGUUGAUGGAGGUGGAUGAAGACAAUGUCUUUGUAAUCGCCGAGAGUUUCCGUAUAGAUAACGGGCGGAUACAGCUUCUAGGAGUUCAGGUGAUUUCAGGGAAAGGGCUUUUGG